CCAGGACCUGCCGCGUGGUAAGACCACGUCGACCCGGGAACAGGCCACGUGGGCGAUCCGCGUGCGCGCGAUCGGACGGCCCAGAUGCGCCCCCGCGCGCACAGACGGCCCAGAUGCAAGCGCACAGACGGCCCAAAUGCACGCGCACGGACGGCCCAGAUUCAAUCAAGCACGGACGGCCCAGAUUUAAUCAAAAUGGACGGCUGUGAUAAAAAGGCAAAAGGGUAUAAAUAAAACCCCCAC
Molecule: long non-coding RNA, 243 nt
Filed under: Carica papaya (papaya)
Lineage: Eukaryota; Viridiplantae; Streptophyta; Magnoliopsida; Brassicales; Caricaceae
Description: long non-coding RNA (CPAP_LNC003659)
Source: RNAcentral